RNAcentral lists this long non-coding RNA (511 nucleotides) under Rhinopithecus bieti (black snub-nosed monkey). Its description in RNAcentral is "lncRNA (ENSRBIG00000045652.1)". The record is from RNAcentral. Lineage: Eukaryota; Metazoa; Chordata; Mammalia; Primates; Cercopithecidae.
CUAUUUUCAUCAGAAGAAACCCACGGGCAGAGUUCUGUGGUGAAACAAGUACUUAACGGAACCAAGACUCAAACCCGGGUCUUCUGUUUUCUGGUGGUGUUCUCUGGCCAAAAUAACCCUGUCAUGUUUGGUUGAAGUCAUUAUAAAUGCUGCCCCAGAUGCUAUCUAGGGGCUCCUCCGUUUCUAGUUCCUCCUUCCACAAGCCAGAGGCCACAGCCCUUGAUUUGAAUUUUAAAUUAUCCAGGAACCUCCUACCCAAAGAACACACAGCCCUCGUGUACAGCAGCCGGUGGCAACUAGCUGAGUUCAAACAGAUACAAGAAUCUCAUAAUCCGGGCCAGAUGUUAAUCGUCUUUUCUGUAAGAGUAAAACUGAAGGUCUCUAUUUUCAGACUUGGGCAAACUCUACUCCUCAAUUCAUGGAACAAUCUCAGUAUUGAUCUAUGCAUGGUAGGUGCAUUUCAUACAUAUGUACAUAUUUUUAACAAUGUAAGAAGCACCCUCUAUUUCAC